GCCCUUGUAGCUCAGUUGGAUUAGAGCACCUGCCUUCUAAGCAGGGGGUCGCAGGUUCGAGUCCUGUCAAGGGCA
Molecule: transfer RNA, 75 nt
Filed under: archaeon
Lineage: Archaea
Description: tRNA-Arg
Rfam family: tRNA
About the family: Transfer RNA (tRNA) molecules are approximately 80 nucleotides in length.
Source: RNAcentral